UGAACUUGUGCAUUUACUUUUAU
This 23-nucleotide small nuclear RNA is filed under the name Arabidopsis thaliana (thale cress). RNAcentral describes it as "snRNA_00985". The record is from RNAcentral. Lineage: Eukaryota; Viridiplantae; Streptophyta; Magnoliopsida; Brassicales; Brassicaceae.